RNAcentral lists this non-coding RNA (31 nucleotides) under Homo sapiens (human). The record is from RNAcentral. Lineage: Eukaryota; Metazoa; Chordata; Mammalia; Primates; Hominidae.
UGAGCCACCAGGGAAGCCACUCGCCUACUCC